This 1724-nucleotide long non-coding RNA is filed under the name Sorghum bicolor (sorghum). RNAcentral's name for it is "long non-coding RNA (SBIC_LNC004885)". Lineage: Eukaryota; Viridiplantae; Streptophyta; Magnoliopsida; Poales; Poaceae. The record is from RNAcentral.
CCUACUCAGUAUCAGCAGUGUAAUCAUCAUCAUACUUGUUUUCCACUUGUUCUUCCUCCUGUUUUUCUUCCUUAUGCUUCUCUUUAUCCAUUGUGUGGAAAUCAUCAAAAUGCUUGAGAAGCGAAACAAGACUUUUCUCCACACUAGCAACAGAUGCCUCCAUCUUUGUAAGCUUAUCAUUAGUGGCAAUCUGUGUGGCCUCCAACUGCCCUAGCUUUUCAUUCAUCACCUGCAAGUCGUUAUCAAGCCCCUCUGUGUGUAGCUUCACUUGCCUUUCAAAAUGUUGUAUGAUGCCCUUAGUGUGAGGUGACUGCAGAAUCUUGUUGACUUCCUCUAUUUCUAACAUGGUUUUUUUAAAUAAAAUAGUGGAAUCAAGAAAAUAUGUGAAGAAAUAGAAGCCCUACAGCUAUUAGGAUGUAGCUACAAUAAGGCUCUCACUCUCAACCUAUUAGACAAGUUCUUACCAAUUCUUACCUUGCUCAAUAGGAGGUGUCGGCUACCGACAAGUCUGCAGCAAUAGAACGAAGUGUAUCGGUGCUGUACCAACAAGACCUGUCAAGCUGUAGAAUAUUUGGAGCUAUAGAUGGGCUAAAAACAAGGAACAACUAGCACCAUGUAAAUUACAAAAGCAAGUUGAGAAAUCAUUCGACGGUGGUACCGUGCUGGUCCUAGGCUAGACCGUGCUAGAGACGCGAGCCUAGACACAAACGGAGUCACUGUACAGUUGGAAACAACACAAGAAUAGCAACAACAACCUAUUACUUCCAUUUUCUUUUUGUUUUCUCUUCUUUCUUUUCCUUUUCUUUUUCUUUUUGUUCUCUUUUUUUUCUUUUGUCUUCUUUCUUCUCUUUCUUCUUCUUUUCCUUUACCUUGCAAAACUAGGACAAAUCUGAAUCUUGACAAAUCAGAUUUCAAAUAGAAACAACUUACAAAGUAUUUUUGUUUCUUUUCAGCAAAUAAUGGUGGAUAUGGUGUAACAUAGAAAAAAUAUGGUAGUAAAAAUUGCAAUUUAGAUAAAUAUGGUAUAGUGGAUAUGUACUAUAUGGCGGUGGUGAUGACAGGGAGAUGAAAAUGAUGGAUAGGACCAAAACGUGACAAGAACUCAAAACUCUAAAAGACUAACCCUAAGACCAGCAACUUGACUCAACCGAAGUAAAUCAAACACAACAAGCCCUAACUAAGUAGUACUAGCCAAGGCUCAAAGUGUUUAUAGGACUGUGGGAAAACUAAUCUACUAUUGUUUUUGGCUUUUUAUUGGAACUAUGGGAAAAGUAAAACAGCAAAGAAUUGAAAGUCUCUCACCGAUAAACCUUGCUCUGAUUACCAACUGAUAAGAACCCGCUAGGGUUUUUAAUAAAUCUUUCGAUGAGAGGUGCUAGGUAACUCGAUUGGUGAAUGGAGUUGAUGUUCGCGGCUUGACUGCAGCCCUCCAAGGCCGCACCUUCGCAACCGAUACACCACCUCCAAUGGCUGUCACGAUCUUGCGAAGCACGACAACCGGCCACUAGGGCACUCAUCCUGCAAGCAAUCGAAGAACCAGCAAGAAUAAGUAGAACAAGUACUGAAUUACUAGAUGUAAACAAAGGUUUCAAUCUCUAUCUCCAAUGAAGUGGGGUUCCGAAAACAAGAAGACGGACGACUGGAUCAGCACGCGCGUUUACAAGCAAGUAGCGAAGACUAAACUUGAUCUAAUCAAAACCCAACUAUGUGCUGGUGGCUGUAGG